This 378-nucleotide ribosomal RNA is filed under the name uncultured bacterium. RNAcentral's name for it is "bacterial SSU rRNA". It matches the Rfam family "Bacterial small subunit ribosomal RNA", at positions 28 to 400 of the family's 1533-position model. The record is from RNAcentral.
GACGAACGCUGGCGGCGUGCUUAACACAUGCAAGUGGAGCGACGAACCGGGGCUUGCCCCGGGGCAGAGCCGCGAACGGGUGAGUAACACGUGGGUAACCUGCCUCAAUGAUUGGGACAACCCGGGGAAACUCGGGCUAAUACCAAAUGUGUUCACUCCUUCCAAGGGGAGUGAGGAAAGGAAGCUUCGGCCUCCGCAUUGAGAUGGGCCCGCGGCCCAUUAGCUUGUUGGUGAGGUAACGGCUCACCAAGGCUUCGAUGGGUAGCUGGUCUGAGAGGACGAUCAGCCACACUGGGACUGAGACACGGCCCAGACUCCUACGGGAGGCAGCAGUGGGAAUCUUGCACAAUGCGCGAAAGCGUGAUGCAGCAACGCCGC